Molecule: ribosomal RNA, 497 nt
Filed under: uncultured bacterium
Lineage: Bacteria
Description: partial 16S ribosomal RNA
Rfam family: Bacterial small subunit ribosomal RNA
Source: RNAcentral
GAUGAACGCUGGCGGCGUGCCUAAUACAUGCAAGUCGAGCGAACGGACGAGAAGCUUGCUUCUCUGAUGUUAGCGGCGGACGGGUGAGUAACACGUGGAUAACCUACCUAUAAGACUGGGAUAACUUCGGGAAACCGGAGCUAAUACCGGAUAAUAUUUUGAACCGCAUGGUUCAAAAGUGAAAGACGGUCUUGCUGUCACUUAUAGAUGGAUCCGCGCUGCAUUAGCUAGUUGGUAAGGUAACGGCUUACCAAGGCAACGAUGCAUAGUCGACCUGAGAGGGUGAUCGGCCACACUGGAACUGAGACACGGUCCAGACUCCUACGGGAGGCAGCAGUAGGGAAUCUUCCGCAAUGGGCGAAAGCCUGACGGAGCAACGCCGCGUGGGUGAUGAAGGUCUUCGGAUCGUAAAACUCUGUUAUUAGGGAAGAACAUAUGUGUAAGUAACUGUGCACAUCUUGACGGUACCUAAUCAGAAAGCCACGGCUAACUACGUG